This 73-nucleotide transfer RNA is filed under the name Pelodiscus sinensis (Chinese soft-shelled turtle). It matches the Rfam family "tRNA". From Rfam's summary of the family: Transfer RNA (tRNA) molecules are approximately 80 nucleotides in length. Their secondary structure includes four short double-helical elements and three loops (D, anti-codon, and T loops). The record is from Rfam by way of RNAcentral. Lineage: Eukaryota; Metazoa; Chordata; Testudines; Trionychidae.
AUCCAUUUAGCUCAGUGGUUUGAGCAUUGGUCUGUUAAACCCAGGGUUGUGAGUUCAAUCCUUGCAGAGGCCA